Molecule: non-coding RNA, 74 nt
Organism: Myotis davidii
Lineage: Eukaryota; Metazoa; Chordata; Mammalia; Chiroptera; Vespertilionidae
Source: Rfam
GGUGGUUCUCAGGUGAUGCACCCCAGAAUUGGGCUCCCUCCUCUCUGGUUCUGGGUGCAUUACCUGAGACCGCC